UGGGGAAUAUUGGGCAAUGGGCGCAAGCCUGACCCAGCAACGCCGCGUGAAGGAAGAAGGCUUUCGGGUUGUAAACUUCUUUUAUUCGGGACGAAGAAGUGACGGUACCGAAUGAAUAAGCCACGGCUAACUACGUGCCAGCAGCCGCGGUAAUACGUAGGUGGCGAGCGUUAUCCGGAUUUACUGGGUGUAAAGGGCGUGUAGGCGGGGAAGCAAGUCAGAUGUGAAAACCACGGGCUCAACCUGUGGCCUGCAUUUGAAACUGUUUUUCUUGAGUACUGGAGAGGCAGACGGAAUUCCUAGUGUAGCGGUGAAAUGCGUAGAUAUACGGAGGAACACCAGUGGCGAAGGCGGCCUGCUGGACAAUAACUGACGCUGAGGCGCGAAAGCGUGGGGAGCAAACAGGAUUAAAUACCC
This 417-nucleotide ribosomal RNA is filed under the name uncultured bacterium. RNAcentral describes it as "bacterial SSU rRNA". It matches the Rfam family "Bacterial small subunit ribosomal RNA", at positions 355 to 787 of the family's 1533-position model. The record is from RNAcentral.